UGGGGAAUAUUGCACAAUGGGCGCAAGCCUGAUGCAGCCAUGCCGCGUGUAUGAAGAAGGCCUUCGGGUUGUAAAGUACUUUCAGCGAGGAGGAAGGCAUUAAGGUUAAUAACCUUGGUGAUUGACGUUACUCGCAGAAGAAGCACCGGCUAACUCCGUGCCAGCAGCCGCGGUAAUACGGAGGGUGCAAGCGUUAAUCGGAAUUACUGGGCGUAAAGCGCACGCAGGCGGUCUGUCAAGUCGGAUGUGAAAUCCCCGGGCUCAACCUGGGAACUGCAUUCGAAACUGGCAGGCUAGAGUCGUGUAGAGGGGGGUAGAAUUCCAGGUGUAGCGGUGAAAUGCGUAGAGAUCUGGGGGAAUACCGGUGGCGAAGGCGGCCCCCUGGACAAAGACUGACGCUCAGGUGCGAAAGCGUGGGGAGCAAACA
This 427-nucleotide ribosomal RNA is filed under the name uncultured bacterium. RNAcentral describes it as "partial 16S ribosomal RNA". It matches the Rfam family "Bacterial small subunit ribosomal RNA", at positions 355 to 774 of the family's 1533-position model. The record is from RNAcentral.